GCUCUUUGAGCCGGCUCGUUCGCGACCGACACAUCACUAACAACUACCUCUCUGUCUGACUUCGCCAAGCAGAUUCCAAACCAAAGCAAGAUCAAACAGCACUUUUUCUAGUUCUUCUCUUCUCCCUACUCAGAGCUAUAUUCCCUACAUUUCUUCCUGUCUUCUCCCCAUUCUUACCAUCUUCAUCUCUGUCUCUUUACCACUUUCUCUUUUGUAUUUAUAAGCACACACAUACACUAAUUGAUGUUCCUGAAAUGGCUGCUAAACAAGGCGAGGGACAGCUAGAAGACGCCAUUUUCCUUGCCGAUUUACUUUGUAAACAACUAAAGGAGGAAGAAGACAGGGCCAGAGCAGCAUCUAGCAGGAGCAGAAUCCGCUGGGUAGGCAAAGAUGCUCAGGGGUGUCCUCUAAAAAGGAGGAGCAGAAGUGGGGCAACCUGCCGACGUACUAAAG
Gymnodraco acuticeps is the source of this 453-nucleotide long non-coding RNA. RefSeq lists it as uncharacterized. The transcript is spliced from 3 exons. NCBI's taxonomy places the organism in Eukaryota, Metazoa, Chordata, Actinopteri, Perciformes, Bathydraconidae. The record is from RefSeq and is a predicted model, not a curated record.